CUCUGCUAAACACACUUCAUCACCCCACAGUGAAGUUUGUGAAUCCUGCUCUGUAGAGUUGCUAUAGAAAUAGUUAUACACUUGUCAGCACACUUCAUGAAGCCAAUGAUCUAAUCCAAUAGACAUCCCUCCCCCCCACCACGAUUAUCAUCUUCAGCAACUCAUUCUAAUACAGACAACCAGGUAUUUUUUAUUACUUCAUGUUGCUUUAAUAAUGCAGCUUCAUAUCCCUGAGGAUGUCAAUAGCUGCAGUGAAAUUUGGCUUUCCAGAGCACACUCAUCAUAUUUUGCAAUGUUAAGAGCUAUUUCUCUGGCUUUGGGCUGCCCAGUGACUGUAGGAUGUGUCCAAUACUCUGCUCUAAAUGAGGAGCAACAAAGCCAUUAUCACAACUCCGUCCAGACAGAUGUAAAGAGUCUGUGCAGUUCUGGCGAGAACUAUGUACUGCAAGAAGAUCCACAGUUUCAAAUUUUCACAGAUUCAUCAGAAGGAAAAAACAGAACAGCUCCUCUUGGUGUUCUGCUCCUGCUAUCUAUUUCAAGCCAGAUACAUUAUUUACCCUUUACCUAAGAAGCUUUCACAACCUUGUCUCCCUUAAUAAAGUGAAACAAAAGACAUUACCAGGGCUAAAUGCAAAGACUGAGCAGUGGGGAUGACAUCUGGUCACUGUCUAAUUUUCAUGCAGCUGUACCAGCAAUUUUUUCUGUUGCAGCUAAUAUUCUUUGUGUCAGGCUGCAGUGAAAAGCACGAAGAAGGAAGGUGGGACAGAAAAGGUGUGAAAUAGCCAGACACAGAUAGAGGAAAAACAGUUCAAUUCUUCAGGAUUCAAACAAGUGAAGUGUUUUUAUUUAGAUUAAAACACAUACACAAAAAUGAAACAGGAACCUCAUUCCUCUCUUAUAGACCUGCAAAUCAAUAUACUCUUUGUAAUUGCCUUAAAAAUAUUAUGUGUCAUUUUGUUAGUUUGAGAGGAUAAAUUGCCUCAGAACUCUCUGCCCUCUUACUUUUGUAGUUUGUUCUAUUUUUUCCACCUAUGACUGCAAACUUCAAUUGAUGUGAAAUACGUGACUCUGAAAGUGACAGGGGAUUAAUUUCUUUAGUGAUUGGCUUAAAGAGAAAAAAGAACAGGAGCACUGAGAGUUAAAGCUAACUCCCUGUUUCAGGGAACUACUUUUCCCUGUAGUACAAGGAGCAUUUCUAUGAGCUUUAUUUCUUUUUCAAGAGAGCACAAAGAGGUCAGCAGAAAUCAGUAGCUAAUAUUAAAUUGCAUUUCAAAAUCUUAAGCUUCCUGUGCUAUAGAUUCAUCAUUUCUGUGGAAAAUUUGGUUCCUUCUGGCAACAUUAUACAUCACUCUGAAUACUGCUGCAGCAAACUGCCAAAUGAAGCAUUAAGGGCGCUGUAUAUUCACAUCUUUUGCUAUGGGGAAAAUCAAUGCUAACAAUUCUUCUUUCAGAGGCCAGAAAUUCCUCUGAAAAUGCUUUCCCUGCAGGUCUCCUAGGACCAUGCAAUCACAUACAUCUUUGGUAGAUUUGGGAGUGAUGUCUGCUUGUGCUAGUGGGGAGGAGAGGAAGCAAUGCUGUGUUUUCUAGGCUAAGCCCUAGCAGCGGGCUCAUUGCUUCUGACUGCACAAGGAGACAGAAGAGCUGACCUGGGCUGCUGUUUAGCAACAAACAAAAAGGUAUGACUAUUUAUUGUUGGAAAAGUAAAGGCUUUCACUCUCCCCACACAGGCCCACUCACCUCCCUUACUUUCUCUCAGAGAUAAAGAGAUGGUUAAGAUGGGAACAGGAGGUAGGAGCCGAUCCUGAUGGGUUUGGAUGAUUGCAUGUUUCAGAUGAUCAUCUGCACUCCUGUGAUUUCAUUU
This 1861-nucleotide long non-coding RNA is filed under the name Catharus ustulatus (Swainson's thrush). RNAcentral describes it as "lncRNA (ENSCUSG00005001544.1)". Lineage: Eukaryota; Metazoa; Chordata; Aves; Passeriformes; Turdidae. The record is from RNAcentral.